RNAcentral lists this long non-coding RNA (534 nucleotides) under Elaeis guineensis (African oil palm). RNAcentral's name for it is "long non-coding RNA (EGUI_LNC055236)". The record is from RNAcentral. Lineage: Eukaryota; Viridiplantae; Streptophyta; Magnoliopsida; Arecales; Arecaceae.
UAGUUUUUAGGCAUGAGAAUGAGAGGAUGAAGAUAAGAAAAAAUCUAGAAAAAAUGUAAGAGAAGAGGGAGAGAAAAUGGAAAGGAAGGGAGAAAGAAAAAGAAAAGUAUGAGAUACUUAUCCUAAAAUCAGAUUGUUCAUAUGUUGAACAUAAAAUUUGAUUAGAGUGUGGUUUGAUACUUUGGGAAAGGGUUCCUAAAAUGGUCUUAAUGGAGGUUAUGAAGGCAUACAAGCAAUGGUAUAUCAAGUUCUUGCGAAGAACGGUCGGCAGCGCACUUGCGAAGAAGACUGCAGCACCAUGACAAGUUGGGAAGGGCCCUGAUCAAUCCUGUAUGGAUCACCGUUAGAGGGCUCUACUUUGGAGUCUUGUGGACAUCUCAAAAUUAUCAGUUUAUGAUCUUUAUGGUAGUAUAUGACUUCUGGUCUUCUCCUCAUAUGCUUGAUUUUGUGAUUUGAUUGUAAUCAUCAAGGGGUUCCUUGGAUUUUUGAGUUUCGAUUGUUGUGUUUAAAUGUUAAACCUUAUUUUCAUUAUUG